UGCCUACGGGGGGCUGCAGUGGGGAAUAUUGCACAAUGGGGGAAACCCUGAUGCAGCCAUGCCGCGUGUGUGAAGAAGGCCUUCGGGUUGUAAAGCACUUUCAGUCAGGAGGAAAGGUGGCUAGCUAAUACCUAGUUGCUGUGACGUUACUGACAGAAGAAGCACCGGCUAACUCCGUGCCAGCAGCCGCGGUAAUACGGAGGGUGCAAGCGUUAAUCGGAAUUACUGGGCGUAAAGCGCACGCAGGCGGCUUGUUAAGUCAGAUGUGAAAGCCCCGGGCUCAACCUGGGAACUGCAUUUGAAACUGACAAGCUAGAGUCUUGUAGAGGGGGGUAGAAUUCCAGGUGUAGCGGUGAAAUGCGUAGAGAUCUGGAGGAAUACCGGUGGCGAAGGCGGCCCCCUGGACAGAGACUGACGCUCAGGUGCGAAAGCGUGGGGAGCAAACAGGAUUAGAUACCCUUGUAGUCG
RNAcentral lists this ribosomal RNA (468 nucleotides) under uncultured Aeromonadaceae bacterium. RNAcentral's name for it is "bacterial SSU rRNA". It matches the Rfam family "Bacterial small subunit ribosomal RNA", at positions 335 to 796 of the family's 1533-position model. The record is from RNAcentral. Lineage: Bacteria; Pseudomonadati; Pseudomonadota; Gammaproteobacteria; Aeromonadales; Aeromonadaceae.